RNAcentral lists this ribosomal RNA (823 nucleotides) under Escherichia coli. RNAcentral describes it as "partial 23S ribosomal RNA". It matches the Rfam family "Bacterial large subunit ribosomal RNA", at positions 2099 to 2916 of the family's 2925-position model. Lineage: Bacteria; Pseudomonadati; Pseudomonadota; Gammaproteobacteria; Enterobacterales; Enterobacteriaceae. The record is from RNAcentral.
CUUUACUAUAGCUUGACACUGAACAUUGAGCCUUGAUGUGUAGGAUAGGUGGGAGGCUUUGAAGUGUGGACGCCAGUCUGCAUGGAGCCGACCUUGAAAUACCACCCUUUAAUGUUUGAUGUUCUAACGUUGGCCCCUGAUCGGGGUUGCGGACAGUGUCUGGUGGGUAGUUUGACUGGGGCGGUCUCCUCCUAAAGAGUAACGGAGGAGCACGAAGGUUGGCUAAUCCUGGUCGGACAUCAGGAGGUUAGUGCAAUGGCAUAAGCCAGCUUGACUGCGAGCGUGACGGCGCGAGCAGGUGCGAAAGCAGGUCAUAGUGAUCCGGUGGUUCUGAAUGGAAGGGCCAUCGCUCAACGGAUAAAAGGUACUCCGGGGAUAACAGGCUGAUACCGCCCAAGAGUUCAUAUCGACGGCGGUGUUUGGCACCUCGAUGUCGGCUCAUCACAUCCUGGGGCUGAAGUAGGUCCCAAGGGUAUGGCUGUUCGCCAUUUAAAGUGGUACGCGAGCUGGGUUUAGAACGUCGUGAGACAGUUCGGUCCCUAUCUGCCGUGGGCGCUGGAGAACUGAGGGGGGCUGCUCCUAGUACGAGAGGACCGGAGUGGACGCAUCACUGGUGUUCGGGUUGUCAUGCCAAUGGCACUGCCCGGUAGCUAAAUGCGGAAGAGAUAAGUGCUGAAAGCAUCUAAGCACGAAACUUGCCCCGAGAUGAGUUCUCCCUGACCCUUUAAGGGUCCUGAAGGAACGUUGAAGACGACGACGUUGAUAGGCCGGGUGUGUAAGCGCAGCGAUGCGUUGAGCUAACCGGUACUAAUGAACCGUGAGG